RNAcentral lists this transfer RNA (71 nucleotides) under Bos taurus (domestic cattle). It matches the Rfam family "tRNA". Rfam says of the family: Transfer RNA (tRNA) molecules are approximately 80 nucleotides in length. Their secondary structure includes four short double-helical elements and three loops (D, anti-codon, and T loops). Further hydrogen bonds mediate the characteristic L-shaped molecular structure. tRNAs have two regions of fundamental functional importance: the anti-codon, which is responsible for specific mRNA codon recognition, and the 3' end, to which the tRNAs corresponding amino acid is attached (by aminoacyl-tRNA synthetases). tRNAs cope with the degeneracy of the genetic code in two manners: having more than one tRNA (with a specific anti-codon) for a particular amino acid; and 'wobble' base-pairing, i.e. permitting non-standard base-pairing at the 3rd anti-codon position. Lineage: Eukaryota; Metazoa; Chordata; Mammalia; Artiodactyla; Bovidae. The record is from Rfam by way of RNAcentral. RNAcentral also lists the same sequence under 4 other names.
UCCCAGUGGCUUAGUUGGUAAAGAAUCUGCCUGCAGUGCAGGAGACCUGGGUUCAAUCCCCAGGUUGGGAA